This 375-nucleotide ribosomal RNA is filed under the name uncultured bacterium. Its description in RNAcentral is "bacterial SSU rRNA". It matches the Rfam family "Bacterial small subunit ribosomal RNA", at positions 28 to 403 of the family's 1533-position model. The record is from RNAcentral.
GACGAACGCUAGCGGCAGGCUUAAUACAUGCAAGUCGAACGGUAAGUGUAGUAGCAAUAUUAUACGAGAGUGACGUACGGGUGCGUAACACGUAUGCAACCUACCUUGUACAGGGGGAUAGCUCGGGGAAACUCGAAUUAACCCUCCAUGAGAUCACAGUGUGGCAUCACAUAGUGAUUAAAACUCAGGUGGUACAAGAUGGGCAUGCGUCUGAUUAGUUAGNGGCGGGGUAACGGCCACCAAGACGAUGAUCAGUAGGGGACCUGAGAGGGUGAUCCCCCACACUGGCACUGAGAUACGGGCCAGACUCCUACGGGAGGCAGCAGUAGGGAAUAUUGGUCAAUGGAUGGAAGUCUGAACCAGCCAUGCCGCGUG